RNAcentral lists this ribosomal RNA (253 nucleotides) under uncultured bacterium. RNAcentral's name for it is "partial 16S ribosomal RNA". It matches the Rfam family "Bacterial small subunit ribosomal RNA", at positions 524 to 776 of the family's 1533-position model. The record is from RNAcentral.
UACGGAGGGGGUUAGCGUUGUUCGGAUUCACUGGGCGUAAAGGGUGCGUAGGUGGCAAGGUAAGUUCGAUGUGAAAUCUCCGGGCUUAACCCGGAAACUGCAUUGAAUACUCUCUUGCUCGAGGAUUGGAGGGGGGACUGGAAUUCUCGGUGUAGCAGUGAAAUGCGUAGAUAUCGAGAGGAACACCGGUGGCGAAGGCGAGUCCCUGGACAAUUCCUGACACUGAGGCACGAAAGCUAGGGGAGCAAACAGG